GACGAACCGUGCGAACGUUGUUCGGAAUCACUGGGCUUAAAGGGCGCGUAGGCGGGUCAGCAAGUCCGGGGUGAAAUCUUUCGGCUUAACCGGAAAAGGGCCUUGGAUACUGCUGGUCUUGAGGGAGGUAGGGGUCUGUGGAACUUCUGGUGGAGCGGUGAAAUGCGUUGAUAUCAGAAGGAACGCCGGUGGCGAAAGCGACGGACUGGAUCUCUUCUGACGCUGAGGCGCGAAAGCUAGGGGAGCAAACGGG
RNAcentral lists this ribosomal RNA (253 nucleotides) under uncultured bacterium. RNAcentral describes it as "partial 16S ribosomal RNA". It matches the Rfam family "Bacterial small subunit ribosomal RNA", at positions 524 to 776 of the family's 1533-position model. The record is from RNAcentral.